GCAGUGGUAGUUCAGCGGUAGAAUUCUCACCUUCCAUGCGGGAGACCCAGGUUCAAUUCCCAGCCAAUGCA
RNAcentral lists this transfer RNA (71 nucleotides) under Loxodonta africana (African savanna elephant). It matches the Rfam family "tRNA". From Rfam's summary of the family: Transfer RNA (tRNA) molecules are approximately 80 nucleotides in length. Their secondary structure includes four short double-helical elements and three loops (D, anti-codon, and T loops). Lineage: Eukaryota; Metazoa; Chordata; Mammalia; Proboscidea; Elephantidae. The record is from Rfam by way of RNAcentral.